Molecule: unclassified non-coding RNA, 253 nt
Filed under: uncultured Sphingobacteriales bacterium
Lineage: Bacteria; Pseudomonadati; Bacteroidota; Sphingobacteriia; Sphingobacteriales
Description: contains 16S-23S intergenic spacer region
Rfam family: Bacterial small subunit ribosomal RNA
Source: RNAcentral
GACGAAGGAUGCAAGCGUUAUCCGGAUUCAUUGGGUUUAAAGGGUGCGUAGGCGGACUUGUAAGUCAGUGGUGAAAUCUCUCAGCUUAACUGAGAAACUGCCAUUGAUACUGCAGGUCUAGAGUACAGAUGACGUGGGCGGAAUAUGACAUGUAGUGGUGAAAUACUUAGAUAUGUCAUAGAACACCGAUUGCGAAGGCAGCUCACGAAACUGUAACUGACGCUGAGGCACGAAAGUGCGGGGAUCAAACAGG